Molecule: unclassified non-coding RNA, 2945 nt
Organism: Bradysia coprophila
Lineage: Eukaryota; Metazoa; Arthropoda; Insecta; Diptera; Sciaridae
Source: RefSeq, a predicted model, not a curated record
UCUCCGUUUUGAUUUUAAAUUUUUAUUUGUACGCCCACCGUGAUUGUGACGAAAGAAAGAAAAUGUUUGCAAACAAUUUCGGAGGACAAAAAAAUAUUUGCUGUGGUCUUGUGUUUGAUGCGGGGAAACGUCCAAUUCCCCUGAUAUCAGCAGAUGUCUGUGCAACGGUGAUUCAUGCUGCGGCUCAAGUGGAAAUAACACAGUACUAUGUAAACAACGAGGAACAACCAAUCGAAGCAAUUUAUUACUUUCCUGUCGAUCCAGAUGCAUCGGUUACCAAUUUCCAGGCCGAGUUGGAUGGCAGAGUGAUUAAAGGAACCGUGAAACCACGAGAUGAAGCUCUAAAAGUUUAUGCUGAGGCAAUAGCUGAUAAGAAAACAUCGUUUCUGGGAGAGGAGACAACCAGCGAUAUAUUCAAACUUCGAGUGGGUUUUCUUAAACCAGGCACUCAUGUGAAGAUCUUCAUCGAAUAUAUGACUGAAGUAAAAAACGAGCCGGGGACCAACAACAUCCGCUUUUACAUACCGACGACAAUUGCACCACGUACCUUCCACAGGAACGGAUAGCCAGGCAAUCGAUAUUGAGAACAUGCAGUUCUCGAGCUCAUCUCCGGCACCAUUGUCUAUAAAAGUAAAAGUUUCCAUACAAGGUGGCAUAAAGGCAAUUGAGAGUCCAACGCAUAAAGUGACCGUGCAGACGUCAGAACUAAUUUCUGAAAAUGAUAAUUACCACAAGGCUGUUGUGGAAUUGUCAGGACAAACAACGGACAUGGAUCGUGAUUUUGUGUUGACUAUUCAACCAGGGGAGAAACAUAAGCCAAGAAUGUAUUCAGAGACGAAUGGCAACGAUAAUUCGACUGCUGUAAUGAUUCAUUUGUUACCCAGUUUCAAAUUGUGCGACCUAAAGCCGGAGCUAAUUUUUGUGCUUGAUAGAUCUGGAUCUAUGAUGGGUAGAAGUAUCGCCUUGGCUAGGGAAGCACUUUUGCUAAUCCUACAUUCCUUGCCUGCUGAUUGCUACUUUAAUAUAGUAGGAUUUGGAUCGACUCAUACAUCUGUGUUUCCCACCAGUGUAAAGUACGAUGAAGAAAAUUUAAAGAGAGCGAAAGCGCAUGCAAGGGCUCUGGAUGCCGAUAUGGGUGGUACAGAAAUUCUUGCACCUCUAGAGGAAAUAUUCGGUCAACCAGAAAUCGAUGGUUAUUUCAGGCAAAUUUUUGUUCUGACUGAUGGCGAGGUAUCCAAUCAGAACGCUGUAGUCGGAAUUGUACACGCCAAUGCGCACAAAGUACGAGUAUUUGCUCUUGGGAUUGGCGAUGCAGCAUCCCACGGUUUGGUUGGAGGUAUAGCAAAAGCUGGCGGUGGUACGGCUGCCUAUGUAACGUACAACGAGAGUGUAGAUAAGAAGGUUCUUGAUCAACUGAAAAAUGCGUUGCAACCGUCAUUGACUGACAUCCAUUUGGAGUGGGAUGGUCUGUCUCCGAUUCAAGAAAAACCGACUAUUCUUAAUAAAACGAAAACAUUGCUCGGGUAUAACAAACCGAUAGAAUCGGAUGAAUUGACAUCAGAAACGUCUCCACGGAUUAAACAAUCGCCGGAAAAGAUUCCGCCGGUGUUUGAUGGGUCUCAAUUGAUAGUGUUCGGAUUGUUUAAAAAUGAUUGCCCUAAGUCGGUAUUAAUCACCGCACAAUCACCAGACGGGCCCCUUACUGUGAGAGUAGAGCAUUCUCCAUCAAAUGUCCAAGGAGAUGUGCGCCUACUAUUUCAUCGUCUUGCAGCUAUAAGACUAAUUCGCGAUUUGGAGGCCAAAGAAGAUUCGGAACCGAAAAAGAGCUUGAAGCAAGAAAUCAUAGAUAUAGCAUGCCAGAACGGUAUCACGUCUAGCUAUACCUCAUUCAUUGCUAUUGAUGUAGCUGACGAGAAACAGAUGUUGGCGAAUUGGGUGAUGGAAACAAGAUUUAUACCUAACCAAUUAGCUCAUGGGUGGCACGGCGGAUAUGAUCUAUCGGCAUCCUAUGAUCGUGCAUACACUUUACCGGCACAUUGUACUUUGCAAUCGGCUGCGACAAACGGCUGGUUUUCUUCGACUUCUGUUAUCAAAUCCAAAAUCCAGUCAAUAGCAAAAAACUUUUUUGAAAGAUCUGACCCCAACGACACACUAUCCGAACGGCAAAGAAGGCUGCAAGCCACAAUAGUCCAAACUGACGAGGUUGUGGAUAUAAUGAAGACUAAUGUGGAACGAGUUCUGGAACGGGAUGUUAAACUAUCGCCAUCAGAUGACCGUUGCGACUGUUUAUCGCCAAACUUUUUUGUACGAUCCGAUGUCAAUGAUGCUGCACAUGGAUGUUCUUCAUCGCUUUUGAUGAGCCUCAUUAACAUUCAGUCAUACGAUGGAUCAUUUAUUUUGAAUGAAGAUCUGGUACCGAUCCUAGGAAAAUCAUUGACAGAAAUGGUGGAAGCGUCCAACAAACAUAAUUUGUCUAAUCAAGUUUUUGCGACAGCUUUGGCUAUAAGCUUUUUCGUUCAUAACCUGGCUGAUGGAAAGGGAAAAAUGGGAUCUCAUUGUCGCUAAAGCUCGAAAAUGGCUAAAUGCAACUGUUCAGCCGGAGAAUGUGGACAGAAUUAUUGAAUUGACAUCUGAGUUCCUUAAAUCCCAAUAAUUGACGAUGGUUUUUCGGUGGAAGAUUUUGCUUGCUGAAGUAUAGAUUACUUCUCAAUUAUAAGACAAAAAAAGUAGAUCGAAUCUAUCAUAGAAUUACACUCGAGAGCUGACUUGGGUAGAUUGCGAUUUUCCCUUAUAAUUAUGAGUUGGAGUGGAACUUGGAAAUUAGACGUGGAUACGCCAUAUACUUUAUGUGGAGAAGUUACCUUAAACUUUUCAGUUGUACGUCGCUGUCAAUUUUUAACGUGUCUGGAUGCCCGAGGAAAUUUGGGGUACCGAUUAACAUCAAA